RNAcentral lists this ribosomal RNA (443 nucleotides) under uncultured bacterium. Its description in RNAcentral is "partial 16S ribosomal RNA". It matches the Rfam family "Bacterial small subunit ribosomal RNA", at positions 338 to 795 of the family's 1533-position model. The record is from RNAcentral.
CCUACGGGUGGCAGCAGUAGGGAAUAUUGCUCAAUGGGGGAAACCCUGAAGCAGCAACGCCGCGUGGAGGAUGAAGGUUUUCGGAUUGUAAACUUCUUUUCUGAGGGACGAAGAAAGUGACGGUACCUCAGGAAUAAGCCACGGCGAACUACGUGCCAGCAGCCGCGGUAAGACGUAGGUGGCAAGCGUUAUCCGGAUUUAUUGGGUGUAAAGGGCGUGUAGGCGGGAAAGCAAGUCAGAUGUGAAAACUCAGGGCCCAACCCUGAGCCUGCAUUUGAAACUGUUUUUCUUGAGUGCUGGAGAGGCAAUCGGAAUUCCGUGUGUAGCGGUGAAAUGCGUAGAUAUACGGAGGAACACCAGUGGCGAAGGCGGAUUGCUGGCCAGUAACUGACGCUGAGGCGCGAAAGCGUGGGGAGCAAACAGGAUUAGAUACCCGAGUAGUC